This 258-nucleotide ribosomal RNA is filed under the name uncultured bacterium. Its description in RNAcentral is "partial 16S ribosomal RNA". It matches the Rfam family "Bacterial small subunit ribosomal RNA", at positions 524 to 776 of the family's 1533-position model. The record is from RNAcentral.
UACGGGGGGGUGCGAGCGUUGUCCGGAAUCACUGGGCGUAAAGGGCGCGUAGGUGGUUUUGAUAAGGGUGUGGUGAAAAGUCCGGAGCUCAACUCCGGAUCUGCCGUGCCCGACUGUCAAACUCGAGGGCUGUAGAGGCAGACGGAAUUCCGGGUUGUAGCGGUGGAAUGCGUAGAGAUCCGGAGGAAGACCGGUGGCGAAGGCGGUCUGCUGGGCAUUAACUGACGCUGAGGAGCGAAAGCAUGGGGAGCGAACAGG